AGUCGAACGGACCCGCAAGGGUUAGUGGCGAACGGUCGAGUAACACGUAGACAACCUGCCUCCGCAGUGGGGGAUAACAGUCCGAAAGGGCUGCUAAUACCGCAUGUGGCCGGGAAGCGAUGCUUCCUGCGCUAAAGGAGCAAUUCGCUGGGAGAUGGGUCUGCGGCCUAUCAGGUAGUUGGUGGGGUAACGGCCCACCAAGCCGACGACGGGUAGCUGGUCUGAGAGGAUGAUCAGCCGGACGGGGACUGAGACACGGCCCCGACUCCUUCGGGAGGCAGCAAUGAGGAAUCUUGCACAAUGGGCGAAAGCCUGAUGCAGCGACGCCGCGUGGGUGAGGAAGUUCUUCGGAAUGUAAAGCCCUUUUACCGGGGACGAUUAAUGACGGUACCCGGUGAAUAAGCCCCGGCUAACUACGUGCCAGCAGCCGCGGUAAUACGUAGGGGGCGAGCGUUGUCCGGAUUUACUGGGCGUAAAGAGCGCGUAGGCGGAAGCUUAAGUGUGGCCUGAAAGCCCCCGGCUCAACCGGGGAGGGUGGCUGCAAACUGGGCUUCUAGAGGGGGAUAGAGGAAAGUGGAAUUCCGGGUGUAGCGGUGAAAUGCGUAGAGAUCCGGAGGAACACCAGUGGCGAAGGCGGCUUUCUGGGUCCGCCCUGACGCUGAGGCGCGAAAGCGUGGGGAGCGAACGGGAUUAGAUACCCCGGUAGUCCACGCCGUAAACGAUGGUCACUAGAUGUGUGCGGUAUCGACCCCGCACGUGUCGCAGCUAACGCACUAAGUGACCCGCCUG
This 789-nucleotide ribosomal RNA is filed under the name uncultured bacterium. RNAcentral describes it as "bacterial SSU rRNA". It matches the Rfam family "Bacterial small subunit ribosomal RNA", at positions 60 to 875 of the family's 1533-position model. The record is from RNAcentral.